UCGGAUUCUUGGGACCGCUGGGACUGUCGGGACUGUCGGGACCGUCGGGACCGUAGGGACUGUCGGGAUUCUUGGGACUGUCGGGACCGUCGAGACCGUAGGGACUGUCGGGAUUCUUGGGACCGCUGGGACUGUUGGGACUUACGGGAUUGUUGGGACAGGCCAUUGGGACCGUUGGGACAGUUGUGACAGGCCAGUGGGACAGUUGGGACAGGCCAGUGGGACCGUUGAGACAGUUGGGACUGUUGGGACAGGCCAUUGGGACCGUUGGGACAGUUGUGACAGGCCAUUGGGACCAUUGGGACAGUUGGGACCACUGGUACAGUUGGGACCAUUGGGACAGUUGGGACCCUUGACAGACAAUAAAUGAGAGACAUUUUGAUGACUUCUUUUUCUAUGUACCAAAUUAUUUUUUAAUUAUUCAUUUUCUUGUGAUACAAUCAGGAGACUUUGGACCAGGUUCUUUUCGUCUAUGUGUCCAACAUGGGACCAUCACCAAUCCUGUUCUCACUCCAUUCAGGAUCAAUUUCAAGCUCACAAAGGUUAAAAAACUGGCAUUUUAAAGGGUCAUUUCGUCUUUUUUUCCAAACUCGACCCAGCUUUUCUAUGUCAGUCUUUGAAAUUGGUCCAGUACCGGUCUGCACUGUAACCCUAUAGCACAAAUGUGCAAUCAAUUUCAAUUUCUGCCCACUAAAAGUUCUGUUUUUUCCUCUGACAAACUCAGAUUAUAAGUGUCUGACAACAUUAUGGAAAGGAUCCCUACAGAGAUAGACCUGGUUGUUACAGAGUAAGAUCCGUUUAGUUUAACAUGAAACAGCCCCAAAAUCACCAUCACCAAACCCACCAGACUCCAUGUAAAUAAUCACUACUUUUAGCGUGUGUAGAGCAGCAUAUCUCAACCAGACUCCAUGUAAAUAAUCACUACUUUUAGCGUGUAUAGAGCAGCAUAUCUCAACCAGACUCCAUGUAAAUAAUCACUACUUUUAGCAUGUAUAGAGCAGCAUAUCUCCACCAGACUCCAUGUAUAUAAUCACUACUUUUAGCAUGUAUAGAGCAGCAUAUCUCCACCAGACUCCAUGUAAUAAUCACUACUUUUAGCAUGUAUAGAGCAGCAUAUCUCCACCAGACUCCAUGUAAUAAUCACUACUUUUAGCGUGUAUAGAGCAGCAUAUCUCCACCAGACUCCCUGUAAAUAAACACUCAUCUCAUCAUCUCUAGGGAUCCUUUCCAUAAUGUUGUAAAACAUUUAAAAUUAUAGUCUUAGCCUUUCAGUGGCAAAACAGCACUUUAAGUGGACGUAAAUUCAAAGUACCCAAUUGCAACUGUUACCGUUACAUUGCAGCAUGCGGGCUAGCUUAAUAUUGGACCAAUGUCAACGAUUGUUGUUCCCAUCAGUCACUUAAACACAAAAACAUAGAAAAAUAGGGUUGAAAAACAUGAAGUUACCCUUUAAAGAGACCAAUUGGCCCUAAUAAGCCAGCAGAUUAAAUGACAUUCAUGUCUAUGCUAACGGUAGUCAACCAGACGGCGUUGGUACGGACUGACUUCAUCUAAACACCCGUUUCCGAGUUAUAACUGUUGUGAGAAACCAAACUAACACGUUAACAUUUAAAAUGUCUUAGUGUCCUUUAGAGAACUGCUGGAAGUGUACGUGCGGUACGUGAUUUUUAACUGUAUUACUAAUCAACCUGAAUGUCGGGAAUAUUAGCCACUGAGUAGUUAUGUAACCUCUUUAUCUACUCUAUCUACAUAUAUAUAUAUAUAUAUAUAUAUAUAUAUAUAGAUAUAUAUAUAUAUAUAUAUAUAUAUAAUAUAUAUAUAUAUAUAUAUAUAUAUAUAUUGUUACCUAUAAUCUGUACAUAAACACUGGACAUUAAAACGAUGGACCUCUGA
Long non-coding RNA from Etheostoma spectabile (orangethroat darter), 1893 nucleotides. RefSeq lists it as uncharacterized. NCBI's taxonomy places the organism in Eukaryota, Metazoa, Chordata, Actinopteri, Perciformes, Percidae. The transcript has 2 exons. The record is from RefSeq and is a predicted model, not a curated record.